Molecule: ribosomal RNA, 513 nt
Filed under: uncultured bacterium
Lineage: Bacteria
Description: partial 16S ribosomal RNA
Rfam family: Bacterial small subunit ribosomal RNA
Source: RNAcentral
GAUGAACGCUGGCGGCGUGCCUAAUACAUGCAAGUCGAGCGAACAGAUAAGGAGCUUGCUCCUUUGACGUUAGCGGCGGAAGGGUGAGUAACACGUGGGUAACCUACCUAUAAGACUGGGAUAACUUCGGGAAACAGGAGCUAAUACCGGAUAACAUUUGGAACCGCAUGGUUCUAAAGUGAAAGAUGGUUUUGCUAUCACUUAUAGAUGGACCCGCGCCGUAUUAGCUAGUUGGUAAGGUAACGGCUUACCAAGGCGACGAUACGUAGCCGAACUGAGAGGGUGAUCGGCAACACUGGAACUGAGACACGGUCCAGACUCCUACGGGAGGCAGCAGUAGGGAAUCUUCCGCAAUGGGCGAAAGCCUGACGGAGCAACGCCGCGUGAGUGAUGAAGGGUUUCGGCUCGUAAAACUCUGUUAUUAGGGAAGAACAAACGUGUAAGUAACUGUGCACGUCUUGACGGUACCUAAUCAGAAAGCCACGGCUAACUACGUGCCAGCCGCCGCAGUAA